GUUAAGGUGAUCUGGGAGAGAAGAGGGUAUGGCAGACCUUGGAUUUGUAAAGUUGAUUUGUUGGCUUGACUUCCUGGGGCAUAACAUCAUGCAAACGAAGUGUCUGGGUUUUCUCCGGUCUUUGUACUCUACUCUCCACAGAAGAGCUAGUGGUCCAGUUGGUUCUGAAAGACCCCCGGAGGCUCAGGCCCCAAGGAUCUUGGCCCAGGACCUCAGUGACCCCAAUCACCAAGCGGGGUUGAAAACUUGAUGCAAACAGCAUGAGGCUUUAUUGCAGUUGUUUAACGAGCUAACCCCAUGUUAGCUCAGGCCUUUCAUCCACCCACCAUGGAGGAUGGCUGGGGAAAGACUGAGAAGCCACAGGACCGAUAUCUUAUAGGGCAACGUAAGGGUAGUGUCUAGGGGUAUGCACAGGCUCAGGAUUGGUGUGCCUCCAGGCUUGGAGGACUUGCCCUGUGUUGAUUGGACAACUGGUUGUUAUGGCCCAUAGGCCCUCCCAGGGCAGUUGCUAUGCUCUGCACGUCAUUGCUGUGCACUUGUUCGUAAAGCACACCCAGAGCUGUAAAGCAUAGCACCACCAGCUAACUUCUGAUUGGUUCCUUGCCACGAGGCAGGCAUCUGACCUCCUAGUGACCAAGGCAAGGUCAGGCAAGCACAUGUUAGGCUGUUAUGGCUGCCAAAAUGGGGAACUGGUCCCUUCAGUUCCUCAGGUGCCUGAGGACCAGAGGGUUAGGUUGCCUUAGCCCUUAGGGAGUGACAGGAAUGCUGAGAAUGUCUGGCACCAAUUUUCAGACCCUCUGGGAAAGGAAGUUUUGGCUUGGAGUGAUGGAGGAAGCAAUCUUUACCUCUGACCACAGUUACCUGAGGACUUGGAUCUCACCCCUGAGCCCAAGGGUCUGCUGCUGAAAUCCUCCAGAUCUGUCCACCCGGGAAGAGAGGCCCCUGUGAAAGAUUGCAUAGCAAACUACAGAUGUGAAAUUCUUUUUUAAAGAUUUGUUUGUUUUUAUUUUAUAUGCAUUGGUAUUUUGCCUGCAUAUAUGUCUGUGUGAAGGUGCCAGAUCCCCUGGAACUGGAGUUACAGACAGUCAUGAGCCACCAUGUGGAUGCUGGGAAUUGAAUCUGGGUCCUCUGGAAGAGCAGCCAGUGCUCUUAACCUCUGAGCCUUGUCUCCAGCCCAUGUGAAAUUAUUUUGCCUCUGAUUCUUAACCCUGAGUUAUUUAUUCUGAGACAGUGUUUCUCAACCUUCAGUGUAGUUCCUCAUGUUGUGAUGACCCCCCAACCAUAAAAUCUUUUUCAUUGCUACUUCAUGACUGCAAUUUUGCUACUGUU
Molecule: long non-coding RNA, 1329 nt
Filed under: Cricetulus griseus (Chinese hamster)
Lineage: Eukaryota; Metazoa; Chordata; Mammalia; Rodentia; Cricetidae
Description: lncRNA (ENSCGRG00015033458.1)
Source: RNAcentral